UAAUACAGAGGGUGCGAGCGUUAAUCGGAGUUAUUGGGCGUAAAGGGCGCGUAGGCGGUUUGUCAAGUGAGAUGUGAAAUCCCUGGGCUUAACCUAGGAAUUGCAUUUUAAACUGAAAGACUAGAGUACAGUAGAGGGUGGCGGAAUUUCCGGUGUAGCGGUGAAAUGCGUAGAGAUCGGAAGGAACAUCAGUGGCGAAGGCGGCCACCUGGACUGGUACUGACGCUGAGGCGCGAGAGCGUGGGGAGCAAACAGGAUUAGAUACCCUGGUAGUCCACGCUGUAAACGAUGAGAACUAGAUGUUGGUGCGCGCGAGCGCACAAGUAUCGAAGCUAACGCGAUAAGUUCUCCGCCUGGGGAGUACGACCGCAAGGUUA
This 377-nucleotide ribosomal RNA is filed under the name uncultured bacterium. Its description in RNAcentral is "bacterial SSU rRNA". It matches the Rfam family "Bacterial small subunit ribosomal RNA", at positions 521 to 896 of the family's 1533-position model. The record is from RNAcentral.